This 494-nucleotide ribosomal RNA is filed under the name uncultured bacterium. Its description in RNAcentral is "bacterial SSU rRNA". It matches the Rfam family "Bacterial small subunit ribosomal RNA", at positions 8 to 518 of the family's 1533-position model. The record is from RNAcentral.
AGAGUUUGAUCAUGGCUCAGGAUGAACGCUGGCGGCGUGCCUAAUACAUGCAAGUCGAACGGAGAUGUUAGCAAUAGCAUCUUAGUGGCGAACGGGUGAGUAACGCGUUGGUGACCUGCCCCAAAGUGUGGGAUAACAGUCCGAAAGGAUUGCUAAUACCGCAUGUGGUCAUCGGGUUUAGAAGCCGAUGAUUAAAGGAGUAAUUCGCUUUGGGACCCGGGACUGCGUCCCAUCAGCUAGUUGGUAGGGUAACGGCCUACCAAGGCGUCGACGGGUAAGGGGCCUGAGAGGGUGGCCCCUCACAAUGGAACUGAAACACGGUCCAUACACCUACGGGUGGCAGCAGUAGGGAAUAUUGGUCAAUGGGCGAAAGCCUGAACCAGCCAACGCCGCGUGUGCGAUGAAGGUCUUCGGAUCGUAAAGCACUUUUCUGGGAGAUGAGAAAGGACAGUAUCCCAGGAAUAAGCCUCGGCUAACUACGUGCCAGCCGCCGC